AACUACUUACUAGAUCUCGUUCAAACCAAUUUUCGGUGGAAGUUUACAUGGUAAUGUACAUCAUAUAUUUUUUUUAGUUUUAUCAUUCUCUUAUUUUAGAAGUUACAGGGGGGGGGACACACAUUUUACCACUUUGGAAGUGUCUCUCGCGCAAACUAUUCACUUUAGAAAAAAAUGAUAUUAGAAACCUCAAUAUCAUUUUUGAAGACCUAUCCAUAGAUACCCCACACGUAUGGGUUUGAUGAAAAAAAAAUUUUUGAGCGAUUUAUGACGUAUAAAAAAAACUACUCACUAGAUCUCGUUCAAAACAAUUUUCGGUGGAAGUUUACAUGGUAAUGUACAUCAUAUAUUUUUUUUAGUUUUAUCGUUCUCUUAUUUUAGAAGUUACAGGGGGGGGGGGGGGACACACAUUUUACCACUUUGGAAGUGUCUCUCGCGCAAACUAAAUU
This is a long non-coding RNA of Cydia amplana, 449 nucleotides long. RefSeq lists it as uncharacterized. Lineage: Eukaryota; Metazoa; Arthropoda; Insecta; Lepidoptera; Tortricidae. The transcript is spliced from 2 exons. The record is from RefSeq and is a predicted model, not a curated record.